AUUGAACGCUGGCGGCAUGCCUUACACAUGCAAGUCGAACGGUAACAGGUUAAGCUGACGAGUGGCGAACGGGUGAGUAAUGUAUCGGAACGUGCCCAGUCGUGGGGGAUAACUGCUCGAAUGAGCAGCUAAUACCGCAUACGACCUGAGGGUGAAAGCGGGGGAUCGCAAGACCUCGCGCGAUUGGAGCGGCCGAUAUCAGAUUAGGUAGUUGGUGAGGUAAAGGCUCACCAAGCCGACGAUCUGUAGCUGGUCUGAGAGGACGACCAGCCACACUGGGACUGAGACACGGCCCAGACUCCUACGGGAGGCAGCAGUGGGGAAUUUUGGACAAUGGGCGCAAGCCUGAUCCAGCCAUGCCGCGUGCGGGAAGAAGGCCUUCGGGUUGUAAACCGCUUUUGUCAGGGAAGAAAAGGUUCUGGCUAAUACCUGGGACUCAUGACGGUACCUGAAGAAUAAGCACCGGCUAACUACGUG
RNAcentral lists this ribosomal RNA (477 nucleotides) under uncultured bacterium. RNAcentral's name for it is "partial 16S ribosomal RNA". It matches the Rfam family "Bacterial small subunit ribosomal RNA", at positions 30 to 507 of the family's 1533-position model. The record is from RNAcentral.